Molecule: long non-coding RNA, 302 nt
Filed under: Androctonus crassicauda
Lineage: Eukaryota; Metazoa; Arthropoda; Arachnida; Scorpiones; Buthidae
Source: RNAcentral
GAUUUGACCUAGUCACGUCAUUACAUACAGAGUUAUUUAACGAGGUCCACUGUUCUUCCCCAGUACCUAUAAGGAUGCCUUUAGGCCUGAGGAUCUCACCCUCUGGCACCAUAAUGAUAUCAGAUAAAGAUUUGUCCAUGCAGUUUUCUUGGCAUAAUACAGAAGUGGUUUGCCAUUGCCUUCUUCUGGGAUGUUUAUCGACGUCCUCGUCUAGAUCCGCACUGUUCUGUGGAAACGAGGGUACCUCGAGAAGGAUGUGGCUCUUCGCCACGCAAUGCGGUCUUGGUAAAGGAGUGGCUAGG